GAUGAACGCUGGCGGCGUGCCUAAUACAUGCAAGUCGAGCGAACAGACGAGGAGCUUGCUCCUCUGACGUUAGCGGCGGACGGGUGAGUAACACGUGGAUAACCUACCUAUAAGACUGGGAUCACUUCGGGAAACCGGAGCUAAUACCGGAUAAUAUCUUGAACCGCAUGGGUCAAUAGUGAAAGACGGUUUUGCUGUCACUUAUAGAUGGAUCCGCGCCGCUUUAGCUAGUUGGUACGGUAACGGCUUACCAAGGCGAGGAUGCGUAGCCGACCUGAGAGGGUGAUCGGCCACACUGGAACUGAGACACGGUCCAGACUCCUACGGGAGGCAGCAGUAGGGAAUCUUCCGCAAUGGGCGAAAGCCUGACGGAGCAACGCCGCGUGAGUGAUGAAGGUCUUCGGAUCGUAAAACUCUGUUAUUAGGGAAGAACAAAUGUGUAAGUAACUAUGCACGUCUUGACGGUACCUAAUCAGAAAGCCACGGCUAACUACGUG
RNAcentral lists this ribosomal RNA (497 nucleotides) under uncultured bacterium. Its description in RNAcentral is "partial 16S ribosomal RNA". It matches the Rfam family "Bacterial small subunit ribosomal RNA", at positions 28 to 507 of the family's 1533-position model. The record is from RNAcentral.